This 773-nucleotide ribosomal RNA is filed under the name uncultured bacterium. Its description in RNAcentral is "bacterial SSU rRNA". It matches the Rfam family "Bacterial small subunit ribosomal RNA", at positions 8 to 776 of the family's 1533-position model. The record is from RNAcentral.
AGAGUUUGAUUCUGGCUCAGAUUGAACGCUGGCGGAAUGCUUUACACAUGCAAGUCGAGCGGCAGCGCGGGGGCAACCCUGGCGGCGAGCGGCGAACGGGUGAGUAACAUAUCGGAACGUACCCUAUCGUGGGGGAUAACACAGCGAAAGCUGUGCUAAUACCGCAUACGACCUGAGGGUGAAAGCGGGGGAUCGCAAGACCUCGCGCGACAGGAGCGGCCGAUAUCGGAUUAGCUAGUUGGUGAGGUAAAGGCUCACCAAGGCGACGAUCCGUAGCGGGUCUGAGAGGACGACCCGCCACACUGGAACUGAGACACGGUCCAGACUCCUACGGGAGGCAGCAGUGGGGAAUUUUGGACAAUGGGGGCAACCCUGAUCCAGCCAUUCCGCGUGAGUGAAGAAGGCCUUCGGGUUGUAAAGCUCUUUCGGCAGGAACGAAACGGUGGUCCCUAAUACGGGCUACUAAUGACGGUACCUGAAGAAGAAGCACCGGCUAACUACGUGCCAGCAGCCGCGGUAAUACGUAGGGUGCGAGCGUUAAUCGGAAUUACUGGGCGUAAAGCGUGCGCAGGCGGUUCGCCAAGUCAGGUGUGAAAUCCCCGGGCUUAACCUGGGAAUUGCGCUUGAAACUAGCGGGCUUGAGUGUGGCAGAGGGGGGUGGAAUUCCACGUGUAGCAGUGAAAUGCGUAGAGAUGUGGAGGAACACCGAUGGCGGAGGCAGCCCCCUGGGUCAACACUGACGCUCAUGCACGAAAGCGUGGGGAGCAAACAGG